Molecule: ribosomal RNA, 2113 nt
Filed under: Moorella sp. E308F
Lineage: Bacteria; Bacillati; Bacillota; Clostridia; Neomoorellales; Neomoorellaceae
Description: partial 23S ribosomal RNA
Rfam family: Bacterial large subunit ribosomal RNA
Source: RNAcentral
UCAAGCUAGGAAGGGCGUACGGUGGAUGCCUAGGCGCUAAGAGGCGAGGAAGGGCGUGGCAAGCUGCGAAAAGCCCCGGGGAGCCGCAAGCAGGCAGAGAUCCGGGGAUACCCGAAUGGGGCAACCCACCUGGAGUAAUAUCCAGGUACCCUUAGCUGAACACAUAGGCUAAGGGGGCGAACCGGGGGAACUGAAACAUCUUAGUACCCCGAGGAAAAGAAAGCAAACGCGAUUCCCCCAGUAGCGGCGAGCGAAAAGGGAAGAGCCCAAACCUUAUGCAUGGAGAAGGCUGCAACCGUUGUGCAUAAGGGGUAGCGGGGCUUCCAGGAGUAGUUGCAGAUACUCCACGAGAGCGAAGGCUGUAGGAGAACAGGACUGGAAAGUCCGGCCGGAGAGGGUAAAAGCCCCGUAUCCGAAACGGCCUAAAGCUUUCGGGAAGGACCCCAAGUACCACGGGACACGAGGAAUCCCGUGGGAAUCCGGGAGGACCACCUUCCAAGGCUAAAUACUCCUUAGCGACCGAUAGUGCACGAGUACCGUGAGGGAAAGGUGAAAAGCACCCCGGGAGGGGAGUGAAAAAGAACCUGAAACCGUAUGCCCACAAGCAGUCAGAGGGCGUUAAAGCCUGAUGGCGUACUUUUUGUAGAACGGGCCGGCGAGUUACGUUAACGAGCGAGGUUAAGGGGAAGACCCGGAGCCGAAGCGAAAGCGAGUCUGAAGAGGGCGCGAAGUUCGUUAACGUAGACCCGAAACCGGGUGAUCUACCCAUGGGCAGGGUGAAGCGAGAUUAAACUUUCGUGGAGGCCCGAACCGACCGGCGUUGAAAAGUCGGCGGAUGACCUGUGGGUAGGGGUGAAAUGCCAAUCGAACCCGGAGAUAGCUGGUUCUCCCCGAAAUAGCUUUAGGGCUAGCCUCAAAGGAAACUAACGGAGGUAGAGCACUGAUAAGGCUAGGGGCCUUACCCGGUUACCGAACCUUUUCAAACUCCGAAUGCCGUUAGUUGCUCUUUGGGAGUCAGACUACGGGUGCAAAGAUUCGUAGUCGAGAGGGAAACAGCCCAGACCAACAGCUAAGGUCCCAAAAGACGGGCUAAGUGGGAAAGGAUGUAGAGCUGCUUAAACAACCAGGAUGUUGGCUUAGAAGCAGCCAUCAUUUAAAGAGUGCGUAAUAGCUCACUGGUCGAGUGGCUCUGCGCCGAAAAUUUAGCGGGGCUCAAGCCCGUUACCGAAGCUUUGGGAACCGAGUGCACCACUGGUGCUGCCAGUGGCGAGUCAAAGGGAAAGAAGCUAAAUUUAAGUUGCAAACCGACCUUAAAAAAUAAAAAAAUAAAAAAGGAGGUUUGCGAAAAAUUCCCUAAGGCUCAAGCCCCUGGAAGUAGCAGUGGGGCACUCGGUUCGGUAGGGGAGCGUUCUGUAAGCGUCGAAGCUGUACCGAAAGGAGCAGUGGAGCUUACAGAAGUGAGAAUGCCGGCAUAAGUAAGCGAGAAGGCAGGUGAGAAUCCUGCCCGCCGAAAACCUAAGGGUUCCUGGGGAAGGCUCGUCCACCCAGGGUAAGUCGGGACCUAAGCCGAGGCGGAGAGCGUAGGCGAUGGGCAAUCGGUUGAAAUUCCGAUACCACCUGAAGGCCGUUAACAGGAUGGGGUGACGCAGGAGGGUAGACACAGCGCACCGUUGGUUGUGUGCGUCCAAGCCAGUAGGGAGUGAGGCAGGCAAAUCCGCCUCACGAAAAGCCCGAGAGGUGACGGGGAGCGAAAUUAAAGUAGCGAACUGGUCGAACCCAAACUGCCGAGAAAAGCCUCUAACGAGGACUUCAGGUGCCCGUACCGCAAACCGACACAGGUAGGUGGGGAGAGGAUCCCGAGGCGCGCGAGCGAACCUCCGUUAAGGAACUCGGCAAAAUGACCCCGUAACUUCGGGAGAAGGGGUACCCCGUUAGGGUGAUAGUUUAAACGAACUAGAGCCCGAGGGGGUCGCAGAGAAGUGGCCCAGGCGACUGUUUACCAAAAACACAGGUGCCUGCUAAAGCGAAAGCUGAAGUAUAGGUGCUGACGCCUGCCCGGUGCUGGAAGGUUAAGGGGAAGGGUUAUCCAGCACUCAACUCUGCGUAUUGAAGC